RNAcentral lists this ribosomal RNA (950 nucleotides) under Prevotella sp. RNAcentral describes it as "bacterial SSU rRNA". It matches the Rfam family "Bacterial small subunit ribosomal RNA", at positions 1 to 939 of the family's 1533-position model. Lineage: Bacteria; Pseudomonadati; Bacteroidota; Bacteroidia; Bacteroidales; Prevotellaceae. The record is from RNAcentral.
UAUUGACAAUGAAGAGUUUGAUCCUGGCUCAGGAUGAACGCUAGCGAUAGGCUUAACACAUGCAAGUCGAGGGGCAGCAUGGUCUUAGCUUGCUAAGACUGAUGGCGACCGGCGCACGGGUGCGUAACGCGUAUGCAACUUGCCUCACAGAGGGGGAUAACCCGUCGAAAGACGGACUAAUACCGCGUACACUCUAUGUUGGGCAUCCAAUGUAGAGGAAAUGAACUUCGCUGUGAGAUAGGCAUGCGUCCCAUUAGCUAGUUGGUGAGGUAACGGCUCACCAAGGCGACGAUGGGUAGGGGAACUGAGAGGUUGAACCCCCACACUGGUACUGAGACACGGACCAGACUCCUACGGGAGGCAGCAGUGAGGAAUAUUGGUCAAUGGGCGGAAGUCUGAACCAGCCAAGUAGCGUGCAGGAUGACGGCCCUAUGGGUUGUAAACUGCUUUUGUAUGGGGAUAAAGUUAGGGACGUGUCCCUAUUUGCAGGUACCAUACGAAUAAGGACCGGCUAAUUCCGUGCCAGCAGCCGCGGUAAUACGGAAGGUCCAGGCGUUAUCCGGAUUUAUUGGGUUUAAAGGGAGCGUAGGCUGGAGAUUAAGUGUGUUGUGAAAUGUAGACGCUCAACGUCUGACUUGCAGCGCAUACUGGUUUCCUUGAGUACGCACAACGUUGGCGGAAUUCGUCGUGUAGCGGUGAAAUGCUUAGAUAUGACGAAGAACUCCGAUUGCGAAGGCAGCUGACGGGAGCGCAACUGACGCUUAAGCUCGAAGGUGCGGGUAUCAAACAGGAUUAGAUACCCUGGUAGUCCGCACAGUAAACGAUGGAUGCCCGCUGUUGGUACCUGGUAUCAGCGGCUAAGCGAAAGCAUUAAGCAUCCCACCUGGGGAGUACGCCGGCAACGGUGAAACUCAAAGGAAUUGACGGGGGCCCGCACAAGCGGUGGAGCA